Ictalurus punctatus (channel catfish) is the source of this 13395-nucleotide long non-coding RNA. The record is from Ensembl. NCBI's taxonomy places the organism in Eukaryota, Metazoa, Chordata, Actinopteri, Siluriformes, Ictaluridae.
CAAAUUAAUAAUAAUGCUAACGCUACAAGGUGGGUUUAAUUCAAACUUCUUUAUUAAAAGAUUCCUCACCAAUCAUAAGCAAGAGUAGCAACUGUUCAGUCUGUAAACAUACAGUACGCUGCAGCUCUCCAUUCACUAACUCUAAUUCACUUCAUUUAAACUCACGGUUGCCAGAUAUCACUAGAAAAGUCAACUCCAGUUUCCAUGUUUUCAUUUUUCCCCCCAAAACCCAAUAUUAUCAGCAGACAUGGACACUGUACUGGGGGAACCGAUCUAAAACUGAUAAACAAACAAAAAUAAAACUAUUAAAAUGUAAAGACAGAAAAUGUGCUUAAUUAUAAAUAAAUCAUUUAAUGAUAUUAUAAUAACUUAAUAAAAUAUAGAUAAAAUGAGAAAUGAAAUAAUGUUUAAUUACUAUGGGUUGCAUUUAAUAUCAAUUUGACAUUUAGCUUAGUUCGCUAUCUCCAUAGAAAGCUAUUAGCCUUUUUCCUAAAUAUGGAUUAUUUUUGUGUUUGUCUACUUUUAAUUAGGACUCUUUAUUGUUUAAGAUAUUUAAAAAUAAAUAUUUUAUGCUUGUUUAUUUAUCAAUUUACCAUCAGUAUCUCAUUGCUAUUAUUUUAAAUCAAUUAACAGUGACCAUGAGCAGAGAGCUUACAUUUAACUGUUUAUGAUAGACUUCCUGAUUAAAGUGUAAAAAAAAGAUUCUGAAUCGGUAUCUGAAUCGGUAUCGGCUGUAAAAAUCCUGAUCAGAAUAUUAGUAAUGAACACCAUUAUACUAAAGCUCUUUGCAUCUGAUGGGUAAAUGAACUCACCCAAUCACAUCCUAUAUGAGAUUAUUCAGAUAUAUACACAAUAUACACAGAGUGGUUUGAGAACUGGCUCCAGCCCAGAACCAUGACAGUGGAAAAUGUCUAAUAGUGUAGCUUUAAAUGUAUUUAAGAGGAGCCAACUUCAAACACUGAACAUUGAUUUUAUUGUAUUUGUUUACAAGGUGGAACAGGUUAACGGUUGUUUUUUUGCACACAGUCUGAAUAAUUAACUGAAAAUAUUACAUUUAGUUUAUCAGAAGGUAAAUUAAUUUGUCAUGGCUCACACUCUGUUCCUAAAUUCUGUCAUAAUUGACCAGCUCAAGUUUUCCCAUGCCUACUUGUGUGUUAUUUUGUGACAUGAGAAAACUUAAUAAAUGUGAAAGUGCAAUAAAAAUAUGUUGUCACUAAAAUCAAUUAAUAAUUGUGAUAAAUAAUCGAGAUCUCAAUAUUGAUCAAAAUUAUCAAGAUUAUCAUUUUGGCCAUAAUCGUGCAGCCCUAUUAUAUGUACAGUUUUUAUAAUAUUUUGUUAUUGUUUUCCUCGAGCCAGAGGUAGCGCGGAUGAGAGAAAUGUUGGAAUGCUAGUUAGCUAAUAGGCUCGAGCUUUUCAUGAAUAAAAGAGAGAAGGCUCUUCCCUUCAACAUAGACUCUUGUUGUAUAGUUUUGCAGGUGAUGGCCUGUGGAGAUUUAAGUGGUUUAAUUAACUCAAAAGGUAAGUAAAACAGUCAUGGUUAAAAUUAGACACAUACGUCAGUUGUAGGCAUAGAAAAGUCCUCGGGUCUGAGUACCGCAACAUUGUUUAGACGCAAACUGCUUUCAUGAGCAAGUCCGAAGUCCACCUUUCUCCAGUUCUCAUAGCGCUCCACAAUAAACACACUCGAACUCUUACACCGCUGAAACAAACACCUCUGACCCAUUUGAAUGCCUCUCUCAUCUACUACAUCUGUAGGAAUGCACAAUGUGCUGUCAUGACUAAUUAAGAGACAGCAUCUUCUCAUAGAAUAAGAACAUGCAGACUUAUGAAUAAUUGAGAUCCCGACAAGUCAUUGAAGUACUGUAGUGCAUUGUCACGCCACUGCCUGUAACCGAAAUUUUAAACCAGGAAGUUGAAAAUAGCGGACAAAAGUUCAAAAUUGACCAGCUAUCUCCUACAAUUAAAAUUAACAGAUGCUAAGAACACCUUUGUUAAAAUCUCAGAAAAUGUAGUAUAGUGUUUCAUGACGCUUUAACCUCAUUACAGUUAUUGCUCUCAUAAAAAAUACAAUUACUUUUGUUUCUAAGUAUAGCUGAAUAUAGCAUCAAACAACAUAUUUGAUGAAAAUUAAUAUUUUAGUCAAAAUUAUUGUGCCUCCUUUCUAUUGCGCGCUCUUUGACGUGCAUACGUGGACUCGUGCUCAUUCAGUGAAGUUUAAUGGUGACUGUCUUGCUGUCAGGAUGAGCCUUUAUUUAAAAUGGAAAUCCUGGCAUGAAUUUCUAACUUUUACAGAUAAGGAUAUAAAGGUAAAUAUGUAAUUACUGCGGUGAAGAAAACAUGUCUGGAGCACAAACAGCACAUGCAUCUGACACGACAAGCCAUGUUAAUACUCUUACGAGUUUGUUUGAAGCGCUUAAUAUAAAACAUUCUCAUGUUUUGGACAACCUGGAUCGUGCACUUUUCCCUGAGUAGCUCGCUCCGUGACCUCUGCUGUUUUUCAAAUGUGUUUUAUUGAUAGAAAUGCUUAUUUCACCAUUGUGAAGUGACGUCACUGACUGAGGUUAUCCACAGUGAUGUCACAGACCCAACUAAUCCAUAAUGAAAUUUGUUGUUGAUUAUUUUUAAUAUCGAUUUUAUUGAUUAGUUGUUGUAGCUCUACAUCAGUCUAUAGUUGUUGAAGGAAAAGUCUUGAACUUAAGUCUCAAUCCCAUUUCUGUUUUUAAAAAGAAUGUAAUUUUAUGUCGCUGUCUUCUACACCUGCACACACACAUGCAGGCCACGCUUACAACUGCUCCUUUACUAUGAGGCCUUUGGGAGGUCAGAGUCCAUGACCCUCAUACUGCUGAACAUGUAGCAUGUGUGUGCUUGUGUGCUCUAUGCUUGUAUGUGUUUUUAUAUUUGUCAUUUACUGUAAGCAAGUGUUUUAAUGUGUAGUACACAGAUAAUGUGCAUGUGCAGACAGUGAACUGAUCUCCAUGAGCAUUCCAGGUAUUCUGAUUUAUUCUUCUCAUAGCUCCACUGAGCUCCAGUGUUCAAGCUGUGAUGCAUGACAUACAACUGCUCUUCUUGGCCACAUCUUUCACACACUGACCCAUUUAUUUUUGUUAUGCCACCACAUGGGCUGCCAUAGAGGAGUCAUAUUCACUUUUAAAAUAGCUCAGUGGCAGGCCAGUAUUAGGUGGUGGUGGUGGUAACCAUCAAAGUGUUUUCAGAAUAUGGGUGGGAAAAAAUCUCCAUUAUUUUGAUAUGGUGAUUUCUUGAAUGCCCAAUCUAACAGGUUUGUUAAAGCUUGGCUCUGUAGCACUAAUUGUGUUUUUGAAUCCUGCAUUCUUCGCUUGCCUACGUAUAUCAACUUCCCAGUUGGCAGUGAGCAAGGCCUUUCCUCACUUUCAGUUACAGGCUUUGUUCACUGCCAACUGGGAAGUUGAAACUGAUUUAAAUUAAACAAGUUAAAGGCUGAUUCACCUACAGUGCCCUCCACUAAUAUUGGCACCCAUGGUAAAUAUGAGCAAAGAAGGAUGUGAAAAUUUGUCUUUAUUGUUUAACCUUUUGAUCUUUUGUUCAUAAAAUUCACAAAAAUACUCUGUUGGAUAUCAAACAAUUGCAAACAAAACACAGGUUUAUCAAAAAAAUCUUUGUUAAAUAUGUGUGCAACAAUUAUUGGCACCCUUUUAGCCAAUAUUUUCUGCUACCUCCCUUUGCCGAGAUAACAGCUCUGAGCCUUCUCCUAUAAUGCCUGAUGUGGUUAGAGAUGUUCUUGCUACAUGACAGUGGAUCUGAGACCAUUCCUCCAUACAGAAUCACUCCAGAUCCUUCAAAUUUUGAGUUCCAGGCUGAUGGACUCUCUUCAGUUCACCCUACAGGUUUUCUAUGGGUUUCAAGUCAGGGGACUGGGAUGGCUAUGGCAGCAUCUUGGUUUACUGACCACAAAAAUAAUUUUUGUGUUGAUUUUGAUGUAUGUUUUGGAUCAUUGUCCAGCUGGAAGAUCCACCCAUGGCCCAUUUUAAGCUUUCUGGCAGAGGCAGUCUGGUUUUCAUUUAAUAUCUGUUGAUAUUUGAUAGGGUCCAUGAUGCCAUGUAUCCUAACAAAAUGUGCAGGUCCUCUGGCAGGAAAACAGCCCCAAAAGAUUAAAGAGCCACCACCAUAUUUAACCAUGGGCAUGAAGUACUUUUCCAUAUGGAUGAGUAGAUGAUGUAGGAGACUUCAGAUUGUAGUUUUGGAGACUUUCUGACCCCAAGACCAACUGACUUUUGCAAUUCUCCAGCUGUGAUCCUUGGAGAUCCAUUGAGACAAUAUAGACACAUGUCCAAUUCCAGGUUGAUUCAUAACAUUUCCAGUUGACAGGUGGAAAUGAGCAUUUUCAGUGCUUGCACUGUUUUCUUAUAGCCACUUCCCUUUUUGUGAAGCUCAACAACCUUUUGUUGCACAUCACAGCUUUAUUCCUUGGUCUUACCCAUUGUUAUGAAUGACUAAGGGAUUUUGGCCUAUGUGUUACCGCAUAUUUAUACCCCUGUGAAACAGGAAGUCAUGGUUGAACAAUUUCUUGUUCCUUAUCACCCAGGUGUACUAAAAAAAAAAAAUUAAAUAUCAAUGGGAAUAUACUUCAAAUAUAUUCUUCUCAAAUAUGUUCUCAAAUUAAUUGUGUAUUAGUGGAGGGCAUUGUACUUAUUUUUUCACAUGCCUAUGUGUGUUUAGGUUGCAUUUGGUUGCGUUAAAUAACCCGCCAGUAAAGCGCUUCAGUUUACUGGUGUUCAUUCACUGUUCAGCUUCAGCUCACGCAGCUUAGCGGGUCAAUCCCCAACAUUAUUGAUUAUGACUUGAUUAUUUGAAACACUAGAACUAUUCUUUCUAGAUUUUUCUUCUUCGAAAAACAUUAAUAUCUUGCAUGUCAUUUUAUUAAAACAGUGUUUGAUGCUGCACAUCUUAAAUUUGAACGCACAAUUUUUGCUUUUGAAUGCACAUUUUUAUCUUAAAUUUGAACGCACAAUUUUUGCUUUUGAAUGCACAUUUUUAUCUUAAAUUUGACAAAUAUUUGAAGUUCAAAUUUAACUUGACAGCCCUAGAGUAGUCGAGAGAACAGAAGUAGCACAAAUGGCCAAUGUUGGUGACAUUCAUUCUUAUGAAAACAAACGCAUGCAAACACAUUGGGCAGUAUUGAGGUCAGCAAAAAUUAUCGAGGUCAUGUCCAUAUAACUGUACAAUGAGUCGAUACUGUAAUUAUCGUGAUGGGCCUUAACACUGCAUUUGUGAAAGAACCCUAUGAAGUUAAGUUGGAAUGUGGACUUAAUAAAGUUUAAAAAUUUACAACAUCCCACAUUAUUAUGCAGUUUUGAGUAUGUUAUUCGAUAUGCUAACAUCGAAUAACGACGAUACUACACUGUAACAUUAAAACUACCUGCCUAAUAUUGUGUAGGUCCCCCUUGUGAUGCCAGAACAGCUCUGACCCGUUGAGGCAUGGACUCCACAAGACCUCUGAAGAUGUGCUGUGGUAUGUGGCACCAAGUCGUUGGCAGCAGAUCCUUUAAGUCCUGUAAGUUUGGAGGUGGGGCCUCCAUGGAGAGACUUUUUUGUCCAGCACAUCCCACAGAUGUUCGAUUGGAUUGAGUUUGUAUGUGGCAAAGAAACAUACACAUGAAUGCCAGAACUCAAGGUGUCCCAGCAUAACAUUGCCCAGAGCAUCACAAUGCCUCUGCCAGCUUGCUUUCUUCCCAUAGUGCACCCUCUUUGCUCUUCUUUAUUUUAUCCAUGCUCAGUGUGGUGUACACACACUCAAAACACUGAGUCAAUUUUUCUCCAUUUAAACUGGUUGCAAGUGUGAUUUCUAUAUUGCCAGCACCUAUGACUUGCUAAAGGUGAGUUUAAUUACAAAUUAAAGGAACAUCAAAUGAUAGAAAAAUUUUUUUUCUGAAGAUGUUGAAAACGUGGCAAUAAUUUUGUCCAGUCCAUUGUGGAGUUCUGUGUGGAUUGUCUCAGAUUUAUUUAUUUUUUCUCUGCCUUUUUUGUGUUGCUCCAAUACAAAAAAAAAUUAAACAUGAGAAUGCCAAGGUAUUUGUAAUUGCAACAAUAUUCUGGGAGAAGUAGUGCAUUAUCUGACAGAAAUGCAGGGGUACCCAUAUUUUUGUCCAUGACUGUGUGUGCGUGUAAAUGUAUACAGUGAUUGUAGAGGUUUAUUAACAAUCAAAUUGUUGACCUAUUGGUUCACCUUCUGACCCCACAGAACUUGACGAGGCAACUGAUUUCCACUGCACUCUACCCCCUCUUAAAAGAACAAUACUGUUUGAGUUUGUCACGUAUCGUGACGGAGCGGAGAUAGGACGGAUGCAAGUGCAGUAUGAACAGUUGUUUAUUUUAAAAGAGAGACAGGCAGACAAAUCCAAAACGUGAUUCAUAAACGUAAUCCAAAACAGGCGAAGGUCAGGCGAUCGGUAAACAGGCAUACACGGGGUUAAACAUGAAUCAAGGUCGUGGUCACGGAAAACAGGGUCGAUAAACAAAACGAGAAACAUGAACUAGGACGAGGAACUGGGAGCGGAUAAUCCAGCGUGAACUAACUCUUAACAUGGAACGUGACUAUGACUACUAUAAGAACUAAUCUAACUCUACGAUAAUCUUCCACGUUGUGUGCUGGGAGGCGCACGGUAUAUAUGUGGACAUGAUCAGCGUCUAAACUGCUAGCAGCUGAGGGCAAUACAGACACACGUGAAAUCCCAGCCAAUGACAGAACAGGGAGGAGACAUGACAUAAACAAAACACACGUGUCCAGAUGUCACUCCUGUCAACAAUGGAAAAGCAGGUGCUUGCGCAUUCGCGCUUAGAGCACGCUGCUUCAAGGGGAAAUCAUGACAGAGUUAAGGGAAUGGCUCUUUCCUGGCUCAGAUCUGACUGAUCAUUAUCAGUUUGUAGAUUUUAAUGGCAACUUCGCUGUUUUGUAAAAAAUUCAAGUUUAGUGUUUCACACGGCUCUGUUCUAGGCCCAUUGCUCUUAUCUUUAUAUGCUACCUCUUGAAAACAUGAUUUUAUCUUCCACUGCUAUGGUGAUGACACACAGCUUGAUGUUAAUUCUGACAUGACAGAAGUACUUUUACUAGGACCACAUGCAGCUAGAAGAAAGCCUUCUGAUUAUUUAGUAACUCUGGAAUGGCCUUUGUUAUAUCAUGUGCACCUUUGAAAGAUCUUGGUGUGAUUAUUGACUGUAGUGUCUUAUUUGAAGCUCAUAUCUAUAAUACUAGAAUAGGCUUUUUUCCUCUCAGAUAUAUUGCACGAAAAGACACACAAGUUCAUGCUUCUUUUAACUAUUAUCUAUUAGACGAUGGCAUUGCUGACUUGAUGUUCCAGUAGGUGCAUAAACAAGCUCUAGUUAGGAUGCAGCAGCCAGAGUCCUUACUAGAACCAAAAUAAUAUAAUAUAAUCACAACACCGCUUAUCUACACUGCAUUGGCUCCCAGUAAACAUUCUAAUUGAUUAUAAAAUACAACUAAUGACCUAUUAAGCACUGAAUGGUUUCAUACCACAGUACUUGAGCAAACUGGUUUCUUAUGAUCCACUGUGCCUGCUUUGAUCAAAAGGUGCAGGCUCUUUAUUAGUACUUUAGAAUAAUGUAUCUCAGAGCAGGGGUGUAGAGCAUUUUCUUGCAAAGAGCUUCAGUUAUGGAACAGGUUUCUGAUUAGUGUUUGUAAUAAUUUUUUAGAUUUGUUAACAGUAUGGCCACCACAUGCUAGUUAACCCUCUUACCCCGUAUGGCCGAAAAACCGGCUUGCCCGUCUUUUGAUCUAUUCCUGUAAGGACGAUAUACCGGCUUGGUCGUCUAUGCCAAAUACCCGUAAGGCCGAUAUAGCGGCUUUACAGUGUAAACGUUAUCCCCGUAAGGCCGGUGUACCGGCAUUACUCUGCCAUGAUUCCUUACUUAUUUAAUUUAUUUUUUUUAACCCGGAAGGUUGAUCACGUCAUGGCGUCACGACGUGAUUACGUUAUUACGCCGGCAUUACGAUGAAGAUCCAAGCGUGAAUAUUGGUGUAAUAGUAGAAGUGAACUAAAAAUGCCAAAGCGAAAAGCUAUUCGUGUUCCAGCUAAAGUUACACCUACAGUGAACACAGGUACAUCUAAAACAGUGGAAAAAAAAAAAGAAAACUUACACAGGCGAGAGCAAGGAUUCUAGAUAGUGACAGCAGUGAAAGUUCAGGCGAUGUUGAAACCGAAACUAAUAGAGAUGCAAACUCUCCUGAUUCAGACCCUGAUCCGUCUUCAUCUUCAGCAUCAACCAGUACGACUGACACUGCAGGGGUCUGGAGUCAUAACGGGACCAUUUCUGUGCAUUCGUGUAAACAGUACCUGCUGGUCUGAUUAUCACCAGAAACUUGACUUUUGGUGCUAAAAUGCAUUUAUUUAUUUAUUUAUUUAUUUAUUAUUUGCUUGAAUUUAUUCAAAGGCAUUGACCACGCUGAUGCUCGUAUGGUACUUCUAAAGGAGUAUAAGGAUUUUAGCGAGCAUUUUCGUCAUUUCUCUAGUUAAGAAUUGUGCUCUAAGUGGAGUAAAAACACUUAACUGCUUCAUUUUCAAAGUAAUAAUACACAAAUACAUUAUUAUAAGUUGUUUCAAGGCCUAAAAAUGUUCAAAUUAAAAUGUUGAUUUUGGGGCCAAUUUUGGCCUGGGAACUCAGGGUUGGCGUGCUGUUUCUAUGGGGAAUAUAGGGUUGUGGGACAUAAUACUGUGGGAACUAAGGGGUACGAGGGUUAAUACAAGUGGGGCAGCGCUAGCUUACUCAAACAGCUGUAAUUCAUGAUUGAUUGUAUAGAUUCACACCAAACUUGGCAAAGCUGGAGUUAAGAUCAUAUAGCUGUAUCAAAGAAACCGAAAUACUGAUCAAGCUGAAAUUUUGUGUGCUGCAUUGUUCUGUUAAUCUGUGACUGGAUCUUUAAUUAUUACUGCGUUACUUUAAAAACGUGGCUGCCCUUAGCUAUUGUCUUAUCAGCAGGCAUUUCACGCAAUUACCGUUGAGCUGUCAUCACAAAAAUUGUAUGUUCAUCUAUGGUUUCUUUAUUAUUCUGUAUCAUUUGGCAAGAACUGGCAAUUGGGCCUAUAUUUGCUGAGGCUGCUUGGACAUCAUUAUUAUUAGUAUUUUUCUCCCCUAAAAUAAAUCAUGCAGACCAAACCAUAUGUCAUGGAGAAAUUUGGACAAUAGGUGGUACUCCCUAGUCUUACUAGUUGAUCAAGCGAGAUAACCCCAUGCAGCCUUAUGGUAGAGCUAUAGCGCACCAUACUGUAUACUUUUUAGUCUCUAUCUCGAGAACCCUGAGGCCUAGAUCGAAUUUUUUUUGUCUCAUUCCAUGGCUAAUUCCAAUCCAAUUUGCAAUUUAACAAUCAAGUGUAGCCCAUUUAGAUUUAGUUUGCAUAAUUUGCUAAGCCAUUUGUUGCAGACUAGUUCUAAGAUUUGUACAGUUUCUUCCAAAAAAUUAGUGUUAAACUACUCAGCAGAGUAAGAAUCACAAUAAUUAUGAAAAAACACUAACCAAUGUGACUGCCAAUCAAUUAUAUCAAUGUGAAGCCCAAUUUUCUCAAACAGCUGUCCAUGAAACCAUUCAGGCAUAACGUGUGCAAAGAUUGGUAUUGCUCUUAAAAACCUAUUCAUGUUUUUGCUCAUAAAAACAAGCAUAUCUCUUGUGCAAUAAGGUGUAUGUUGAUUUUUUUAAAUUUUCUUAUGCUCAUUUGGCUGAAACCAUAAACAAUUGUUUUUUGUACCUUUGAGUCCUGCCCUCUUAAAUUUUUAACAAUUUGCAUAAUAUACAAAGCCUAUUUUUGUGAAGUCAGUCUAACAUACUGUUGAAUUACUAUGACUGUAUUGGCGUAUUAUUUUUUCAUUUGUUACUUAGGCUUUUUAAUUAAAUGCAUCUUUCUAUCAAAAAACAUUCAGCAGACUGCAUAAUAAAGUAGGCUAUUCAUCAUAAAAUGCAGAUUAUACAUUGCAUGAGGUGAAAUAAACAUAUAAACUUAAUUUGUCCCACACUUCCUCCUCUAAAAAAGUAGUGUCCUUUAGAGGGGGGGCUAUUGGGGUUCUCAUAAGCAUUCUUUCACUACUAAUUCACUAUUACUGUCAAUCACAGCGAUUAUCUUUAGAACAUGGAGAAAGCAGGAUUCAGAAGCAUAUUUGAGCUAUGGCAAGCAAACACCUGGAUGUGAAAGGCCUGUGCUUUAGGCAUGCGCUUCCUGUGAGUCAGACCUGGUAUCCCUGCACACCUGUGCACAGAGCCUACUGUUGAAUUAGCCAGGUUUAAUUUGUAUUAUAUGUGUCUCAUUAUUAAACAGUGUCUCAUUAUUAAGUUUACAUUUUUCUACUUUUAUAUUGUUGAAGGUUUUAAUCAAUUUAAAAUCGAAACCAUUGCUAGUUGAGGCUAUGCUUAUAAGUUUAUAUAUUUGUACGGGCACCAUUAAAAUCCAAUUUGUAAGUGUAUUUUAAUGGUGACCGUGUUAAAAAAAUGCAUGUCUUUUCAUGAAGGAUCAGGAAGCCUAUCACGCACAAUGUCGCAGGACUAGUCUGACCAGUUUCUUAGAAUUAAAUACAUUUGUUACUAAGUAUAGACAAGAAUGCGUUGCAACUUAAACAUGUAAUAUAAAAUAAUACUUGAAUGUACUACAAAUUUUUUCAUUCUAUGGCUUUGAUGCUUUAAAAUCGCCCAGACUGCCAUGGUUUUAUAUUUCAGUUUGAUAUCACACAGGAGGGGGUGGGAUGGGGAGUUAUUUAUCCUUGAGAGGUGAUAUUAGUGGGGGAAGGGGAGAUUCAUUCAUCAGUAAGUAACUGCUGGAAAAUUAGCAGAUUCCUCCUCUUCAAAAACACAAAGAAUUUAUUUGUUGCUGAACCUAAUCCUGAAGUCAGAUUUAACUAAAUCCUCGACAUCCAUUUCUUGUAUUGAUUAAGCUGCUGGCUCGGCUUUCUAUCGUUUUGGUGAUCAUGCCGUUUUUCUACCGUUAAUAUGUGGUGUUCUCAAAAUUAUGCUUUGUUUUCAUAAUGCUAUGACUUUAUUCUCAAUAUAUUAUGAAUUUAUUCUCCUAAUGCAACAACUUUAUUCCCAAAUAAUAUGACCUCAAUUUCGUAAUGUUCCAACUUUAUUUUUUAAAUUUGCCAUUGUAGACGGUCUGCCUACUCUGUGUACAGCCUAUAGCAUACUGUAGUCGCCAGUGUGUCUUUUGAGGUCAGGGGAGUGACGUACCAGCUAGCCUCUGUUACUGUUCAAUGAAAAUGUAAAAUUACUGUCACUAUAACAUUAACAUUAUAAUAAAACAGUGGUCAAAGAUCAGAUCCUUAGCUUUUAAAUAACAUAUUGUCGAUCAAGAUGAGGUAAUUCGUUUAACUGUUCAAUGUAAUGUCACAUUCUUUUACGCCUUUAAGAAUCUGCUCAACGAGUGUGAAGCGACUGCCACCUAAUGGUCUUGUCUCGACAGCGCUGGCUAACUGAGUGACAUACGUCCCGCGGUGUACUGCAGGAUCACGUUCUAUUUCUCAUUCAUUUUUAAUGGCCACAUCUGCACUUCAUAAUAUGGCCACUGUCAGCCAUUAAGCUUUAUGAAGGCAUUUCACAAAAUUAGCUUUGAGCAAUCAUCAAAAAACGUGAUACAUAUGUUCAUGUGUGGGCUCUUUAUUGUUCUAUAUAAGGUAGGAAGUACUGAUGGACCGAAAUGAAAAUUCUUGGCCGAAGCCGAAACCGAAUAUAAUGAAAAACCUGGAAGAAGGCCGAAUACCGAACACGUUUUUUUGACGUUUUUGCCAUUAAUUUUGCCUUUUUUUUUCACUAUUGCAUAAAUUACAAUAGUCAAAAUGUGCUUUUUACUAUUUUGUCUUGCUUUUCAAAGAAAAAAAAAAUCCGUAUUCUACUCCCUUACGUCUCGCAACGUGACAGAAUACUCCGGAACAGAAACAAAACAAACGCAUGUGUCCGGAGUGAACAAUGUCACGGUUGUCAACAUCCGAAGAUCAUGCACUCGCUGAGCACUCAUGCACGCGCACGCCCUCUCAUCUCUCGGAGCGCGCUGCCGGAAGUGGAGGUCGUGACAUUCGUGCUGCUCACUCUGGUUGCUAGGCUAUUUGGUCGCGUCAUCAAACACGUCAUUGUUCAGUCAAAUUUAUUCGGCCUUUUCGCUUACACCGAAAGGGCUUUUUUUGCUACUUUUGCUAAAUUAUUCGGCCGCUGAACAUUCGGUGCAUCCCUAGUAGGAAGAGCUGACCACUCGAGGCGAUAUUUAUAUAUAUAUAUAUAAUAUGUAUGUAUGUAUAUGUGUAUGUGUGUGCAAAAUAUAUAUGUAUGUGUGUUAAAAAAAAAAAAUAAAAUAAAAAAAUAUUAUGAAUAAAAAAAAAAAAUAUAUAUAUAUAUAUAUAUAUAUAGAACCAAUUAAAUCCAAUCCAUAUAGCUAGAAAUGCAAUAGGGCAAUGUUAGUCAUAUGUUGAUAAUAGUUUUGCUUUGUAACAUACCUUUCUUUUAUGCUAGUGAGAUGCUCAGCUCUUGCUUACCAGUGUCUAUGGUAUUCAGUUUUUUUCUUUGCUACUUAGUAACCUUUAGAAAACAGGUUGUAAUAAAGUAAGAAAUGUUUUCUCAUGAAAUGAACUAUAUAAUAAAAUAUUAACAUAAUAUAACUAGAUAAUAAUAAUAAUAAUAAUAAUAAUAACAAUAUAACUAGAUAAUAAUUUUAUAAUAAUAUAAAAUAUAGACAUUCAAAUAUCAAUUGAAAUUCAAGGAAAACACAUUUUAUUUUUUUAGAAAAAUAUGUUUCAGAUUAAACUGUAAUAAAGAAUGGUAUCUAAAUUAAUCAUCAAUUGUGUAUAAAAGCACAAUGAGCCAGUGGAAAACAUCUAUCACAGACGGUGGAACUGCAUAACGCUGACACUUUGACACUUUUUUUUUUCUGUUCAAAUUUUCUAGUUCAUUCAGAUUGUACAGGCAUCAUCCCACCAAAAUCUAUUAUAAAAUUUGUAAUAAAAAUCUAGAUUCAUUGAUGGUUUCAUUUUAAUUGUUUUCUUAAUGUCACACCACAUGACAGCCAUAUUUGUCAACUGUAGAGCUUCAAAGUGUGAAUGGUUUCCAAAUUUGGAAAUAUUGGAAACCUUUAUAGAUAUUUCCCAAAAGUCUCAAAAUGAUCAUUUCAUUAUGGUCCUACCAGAUGAUAUUUGGUAAAAUGAACACCUUUCGUUAGUAAAUUAUGAAAAGAAUAGGAAUGCAAAUGUCCUGCUCAGUAAUGCAAACACUUUUGAAAUUGACACAUGCCUAAACAGAAAAUAUGAAUGUAUUUAGAGCAGUGGUCACCAACCUUUUUAAGCCCAAGAUCCCUGACAUUGACCUUAAUGAAAGGCAAGAUCUUGUUAUCAAAAAAUUGAUAGAAAAAGACAGCCCAGAUUGAACUUCCAAGUUGAGGC